Molecule: long non-coding RNA, 1506 nt
Filed under: Numida meleagris (helmeted guineafowl)
Lineage: Eukaryota; Metazoa; Chordata; Aves; Galliformes; Numididae
Description: lncRNA (ENSNMEG00000009690.1)
Source: RNAcentral
AUGUCAGUGGCUGUCUCUGGGAUCAGUGGUGUCCCUAUGUCAAGAGGACGUCCCUGGCUCGGGGAGUGUCCCUGUGUUGGGGGUGUCCUUACGUCAGGGUUGUCCGUGAGGUCAGGGGGUGAUCCCUAUUAUCGGGGGGUGCCCCUAUGUCAGGGAGUGUCCAUGGGGUCAGUGGUGUCCCUACGUCGGGGCUGUCCGUGGGUCCCGCCGUGCCGUCGUACGCCGGUAAACAACGCCGCGUCUGCAGCCGCUCCGCAGGCAUUUCUGGCUGUGCCGUGUCGUGCCACUCCGCGCCGUGACAGCCGCAUCCCCACGCAGCCGCCCCCCCCGACGCCUCCGGCAGCUGCGUGGGGCGCUGGGGCCGCUCAGCUGCCGCGCGGGGCGGCUUUGAAGCGCCGCUGCCAUCUGCGCGAUGCAAAUCCCGCGCUGCCCGCGGCGUGCGGAGCCGCUUCCGGAGCCGCGACGGAGGGGGUGGCGGUGCAGCGGCUGCUCCGCCCUCCGGCACCCGCGGCGGCUCCGGGCCGUGGAGGGGGGGGGAAGGAGGGGGGCACCGCCGAUGUCCGCGCGGAGAGCGCCCAAACGAACGCGAGAAGGCGCCGGCGGGGCCGGGACGGAUCGGAGCCGCCGCGGGUCCCCGGCGCUCUGGUGCCCUCCCUUACGCCGACUGCCACAGAGCGGAACCACGGCUGCCCCCCCCUCCCCCCUCCUUUUCCAGCGCUCUUUAAAUGCAAAUCCGGAGGCGAAGCGAUGGACCCCCCCGCUUACCCCCCCCCGCCCCGCGCCGGGGCUGCACGGGGGGGUGGCGGAGGCAGCGAGCGGCCCCCGGGCCCCGGGGAGCUGCGGGCGGCGGCGCGGGCAUGGGGCUCCCCCGGCUGCGGGGCCUCGUUAAUAUUGGAGGAGCUCUUUGUCCGCGGGGGCCGGGGCGGCUCUCGCAAUCGCCUUUCAUCUCCGCGAGGCCGCGGCUCGCUCUUAUCUGCCGCUUCCUCCGCGCCGCGCUCGGGGCGUUUCAUGAUUUCUUUUCCACGGGCAGGGCUGGAAAAAACCCCUCGGCCCCCGGGCAAAGGGCGCCGGGCCCCCCCGGCCUCCGCCCCGCCGCGCCGCGCUCAUCGGCCCCGUGCUCGUCCCCCGGACUCUGCCCCGCGCCGCCCCCAACGCAAACACGCGCGGUGCGGGGCGGUGCGGGGCGGUGCGAAGCGGGACGCGGCCGCGCGGCGCUGUGUGCGGAGCGCUCCGGGCGGUGACACGCGAUCCGCGCUGCCGCGACCUUGCGGGAGGAGGAAGGGCACGCGGCGCUCCCCGCGGCAAUUCAAUCCGCCCCGCGGAGACGCGCUGAGCGCUGCGCGCCCCGACGGCACCGCGCCGUGCCCCCCCCCGGGGCCCCGCCCGCCAAGCACGGGGGGGGUUCUCCCCGCUGCCACCGGGACGCAGAACUGUGCGAGCGCCGGGCGCUGCCCCCCACCUCCCCCGCCCCCGUUUAUUUUAAUGCCGACGCUCGGGACGCAUUAA